AUGGCUCUUACAAAGCAGACUGCCUGCAAAUCCACCGGUGGUGAAGCACCCAGAAAGCAAGUGGCUACAAAAGCCGCCUGCAAGAGUGCGCCCACUACUGGAAGGAUGAAGAAGCCUCAUUGUUACAGGCCGGUUCUGUGGCACUCCGAGAAAUUAAACAUUAUCAGAAGUCCACUGAACUUCCGAUUCGCAAACUUCCCUUUCAGUAUCUGGUGGAGAAAUUGCUCAGGACUUUAAAACAGAUCUGGGCUGCAGAGCGCAGCUACUGGUGCUUUGCAGGAGGCAAGUGAGGCCUAUCUGGUUGGCCUUUUUGAAGACACCAACCUGUGCGCUAUCCAUGCCAAACGUGUAACAAUUAUGCCAAAAGACAUCCAGCUAGCACGUUGCAUACGUGGAGAAUGUGC
RNAcentral lists this long non-coding RNA (404 nucleotides) under Homo sapiens (human). RNAcentral's name for it is "non-protein coding lnc-AP3S1-7:1". The record is from RNAcentral. Lineage: Eukaryota; Metazoa; Chordata; Mammalia; Primates; Hominidae.